CCCCAGACUCCUACGGGAGGCAGCAGUGGGGAAUAUUGGACAAUGGGGGGAACCCUGAUCCAGCGACGCCGCGUGAGUGAAGAAGUAUUUCGGUAUGUAAAGCUCUAUCAGCAGGGAAGAAAAUGACGGUACCUGACUAAGAAGCCCCGGCUAACUACGUGCCAGCAGCCGCGGUAAUACGUAGGGGGCAAGCGUUAUCCGGAUUUACUGGGUGUAAAGGGAGCGUAGACGGCAGCGCAAGUCUGAAGUGAAAUGCCGGGGCUUAACCCCGGAACUGCUUUGGAAACUGUGCAGCUAGAGUGCAGGAGAGGUAAGUGGAAUUCCUAGUGUAGCGGUGAAAUGCGUAGAUAUUAGGAAGAACACCAGUGGCGAAGGCGGAUGACUGGACGACAACUGACGGUGAGGCGCGAAAGCGUGGGGAGCAAACAGGAUUAGAUACCCUCGUAUU
This 448-nucleotide ribosomal RNA is filed under the name uncultured bacterium. Its description in RNAcentral is "bacterial SSU rRNA". It matches the Rfam family "Bacterial small subunit ribosomal RNA", at positions 329 to 794 of the family's 1533-position model. The record is from RNAcentral.